CCUACGGGAGGCAGCAGUGAGGAAUAUUGGUCAAUGGCCGGAAGGCUGAACCAGCCAUGCCGCGUGAAGGUCAGUGCCCUAUGGGCGUUAAACUUCUUUUGUGCGGGAGCAAUAAUGGUCACGUGUGGCCAGACGAGAGUACCGUACGAAUAAGCAUCGGCUAACUCCGUGCCAGCAGCCGAGGUAAUACGGGGGAUGCAAGCGUUAUCCGGAUUUAUUGGGUUUAAAGGGUGCGUAGGCUGUGAGGUAAGUCAGCGGUGAAAUGCCCCCGCUCAACGGGGUGAAGUGCCAUUGAUACUGCCUGGCUGGAAUGCGGAUGCCGUGGGAGGAAUGUGUGGUGUAGCGGUGAAAUGCAUAGAUAUCACACAGAACACCGAUUGCGAAGGCAUCUCACGAAUCCGAGAUUGACGCUGAUGCACGAAAGCGUGGGUAUCAAACAGGAUUAGAUACCCUUGUAGUC
This 460-nucleotide ribosomal RNA is filed under the name uncultured bacterium. Its description in RNAcentral is "partial 16S ribosomal RNA". It matches the Rfam family "Bacterial small subunit ribosomal RNA", at positions 338 to 795 of the family's 1533-position model. The record is from RNAcentral.